Long non-coding RNA from Bacillus rossius redtenbacheri, 3888 nucleotides. RefSeq lists it as uncharacterized. The record is from RefSeq and is a predicted model, not a curated record. The transcript is spliced from 3 exons. NCBI's taxonomy places the organism in Eukaryota, Metazoa, Arthropoda, Insecta, Phasmatodea, Bacillidae.
GCCUCUACGAGCAAGGCAGUGAGCUGGUCGACGUGACGGGCAGAUUAUGCGUCGUGUUCAGCGCAGCUGUGAACCUGCAAUCUCUAACAUUAAUCCAUCGGGAUCUGCGUCAUCGCUGACGAGAUAGGCCUAUCUGCAGUCGAUGGUACAGCUUCCAUCAAGGUCUUCGUGGUUGUCUUCAACGAUGCCAACGGGAUCUACGCUGCCGUCGUCGUCGCUGCCGUCAGGGUUCCCGUAGAUGAUGGCACAACUUCAUUGAGUUCACCGUUAAAGAUGGUAAAGAUGCCAUCGAGAUCAUAAGAACAGAGACCCCGGUGAUGUCAGCAUCAGCGUCUCAGGCGAGGAGAAAUCUUGCAGACAUAUCGGCACCAGCAGGACGUCAGCAAGACUGGGCAUGGGUGACCAGACACUUCGUGGACCUGCAUUCCAUGGGGGGCUAGUGACCUGCCUGUGUCGAGCCAGCGACUGCCGGACUGCAUUGGCGCAUUGACCACUGCACCGCACUCUUUCCCAUUUUAAAUGAGUCAGUCGACGUAAAAGUGACAUAUUUAUAACACAGAGUGUUCAUAACAGAAUGUCCCAGUUUCAAUGGUAAUAUUAUCACAGUUUAAUUUGGACUGUUUACAACAUAUCACACAUCAAAUUGAAGGUAAUCUUACCUAGUUUUUUUUAACACAUGUUCAAUUUGUGCACCUUUAGUUAUACGGCACACAUCCAACCUAAAGUCCCAUUCUUCCCACACUUUGGUUAACACGCCCGGAGUAACGGAAGCAAUGGUCUCAUCAAUUCUGUGCCUCUACUUUGGAAAAUCGGCGGAACUUGGGAACACUCUUUUAUAAAGCCCUAAAGAAAAGAAAAUCUCAUGGCGUUAUGUCAGGUGAACGUGGAGGCCAGUGAUAAAGAGCUCUGUCGUCUCGACCAUUACGACCAAUCCAACGGUCAGGGACUUCGACAUUCAACCACUCUUGUACAAAGAGAUUCCAAUGGGGAGGGGCUCCAUACCGUUGACAAAUAAUUUUUUACAGGUUCACCAUAGACAAUUGGCGAUAGAGCCAUUUUUUCGCGCUUCAAGCAAGAAACAACAAAGCCGUAUUUUCGCAUGCGCUUAUCUAAAUCUGUUUCAGUUACUCUUUAAUUGUGACCUUGAACCAACACACUAUAACGCUUACAGUUGAAACUAUUAAAUUUUAUAACUGGGACAUUUUUAUGGACAUACUGUGUUAUGUAUUUUAAAGUAGAAUGUUGGUUUCCUUUUGGUUUCCUUUUGCUAUUAUUUGUACUGCGUGUGGUUUAAUGUCGGGAAAAGUAUAGGGUAAAGUGUCCGAAUAUCGGAUACUUUUUCAAAAUUAAUUUUUUCAUAAUGAAAGAAAUGAUAUUAAGAAUCACAAUUUACUCCGUUAUUAUCUUUGUUAAACAUAGUUUACACUGACAUGUAUUUUAGAGUACGCAAAUAGUUCACGGAAAUAUUAAAAUAAUAAAAAGCAAAACAAAAACAUUUAUCAGUUCUGAAAAAAAGUAGCCUAAUAUCGGAUACAAGGUGUUCCUAAUAUCGGAUAGUAGGUGUUUUUAAAAUUAAAUUAUGAAAUAAGACAUAAUUAUUCCCGGCAGUUGAACAAGUACAAUACAUAACCGUUAGACUUAAAGAAAAAGAACUAAAAAUAUAUCAAGCAUUGAUUGCAAGGAACCUGAGUUGUGUGGAACAUAUUAAACGUCUAACUGUCUGAAACCAACAAAUUAACUAAAUCACGUACCACAGUUUUCACAAACAAAUGUUUUCCAGCUGUGUUUACCAAUUACAGCAAAUGUUUCGUGUACCCAUCCUAGCCAGCGAAUGCACCGAAUCCAGUCGCUUCCAGAAUGAUCUUCGCGAUAUGGCACACCACUAUAGAGGCACUCUUCAUCUUGUUAUGUCAAGUUCUCUCCUAAGGAAAGCCUUAUUGUCUUCUCUCUCUAAUGGGGCUUGAAGGGAAUAAGGGGUUAUAAAAUAAGGUCUCGACAUUAACUUCAGUUCCACUUCAAUUUACUACUAACUAUUACAAUUGUCAACGCCGUCACCCGUUGAGUUAAAUCUAUAACAUAUACUUAAGUCAAUCUACGUGCCUCGCUGUCACACCUGUGAGUGUCCUACCUCCGCUCUCUUGUCUCGCGCUCGCGGCAGACCUCUCAGAGAGGCGGGAAGCGGCAGCGAGAGUCACGUGGCUUAGUCUCGGCACGGCCACAACCACCGGGCGUGGAUGCCGUUGUUGAGACCUCGACAGUCCUCGUUCCUACCCCCUCUCGACCCCGGUGGCCAGCCUCGUUCCGAAACGCUGUCCCAGUAUUUCGCGCUGACUCCGCUGAUGCCGCAACGAGGCCGGCCCGCACGUCGCUGCAGAUGUGUCGUAACAAUCUGCACUGUCGCUGCCAUCCGUUGAAACAAGAGGUGGUUCGUCCUCCAAAUCUGAAUAUUCCGAAUCUGUGAAAUUUGCCUUUAAAGUUCCUUUCUUUCCACAUGCCUUAGGCAAGGUUGUCUUCCUAGAAAUGGACGUUGUUGCUCCCUUCAAUAUUUUUUUUCUUACAAUUUCUUUCUUGGAACUCAUUCUGCUUACGUUUCCUUAACUCUGCAUUUUGUAAAGAGGCUGUAUGCUGUGCCUUGUAUGGAGAUGAAGUGAUGACGGCUGUUUGACCAGACCUUCGACUCUUUUUAGAAGGCCCUGGUAGGACAUGGGCGUAAAUGGAAUGGGCUGAUUGUAACUGCACCAUUUAUCUUCUUCUGAGCCUCACAUGGUUUUGGAAUAUCAGUGAUUUCAUCCAUGGAUGUAUCAUGGCUUGUUCCUUCUUGGUCCUGUCUUCAGAUACAUCAUCAAAUUGGAAAGAGGAAUUUCCGGUCAUGGUUACAUCAUUUUCAUGUUCCAAACGUUGACCUGUUUUGUGUUUCUGAUUUUCUUCAGGAAGGAAAUCUUGUUCUCCAAAGACUAGUGGAUCAAAUGAUGAUAUACCACACUUUCUUAACCCGUUUACAGCCGAUUCCAUGGUAGCUUCUCUCAUGUAGGCGCGUCCCAUUAAACUUCCAACUUGGUAAACAGAAACAGCUCUGAAAGGAUGGGCAUCCAGCUAAUUUUCAAUUUCAGCAGAAUAAAACUGUUAAAUGGAGCCAUGAAAUCUACAUCUAAAGGUUGUAGCUUGUGUGUCGAGUGUGGUGGAAGGCAAAUUAUUUUCACCCCAUUCUGCUGUGCUAGUUCUAUAACAUCUAAAUUUCUUGUAUGUACAAAUUAGGCCGUCAAAGUUAUUUAAAUAAUACAACACAUAUGUUUAUAGGCAUCAUACAACUUUGGUUCAUACAUUUUUCCGCGUCAAAACCAAACUUGUGUAUGCAUAAACAACACUUACACAUUAAACUACAACACUUGUAGGUUCAUCUAAUGUAUAUAUGUGGUUUUUAACUACUCACAUUUUACCCGCAAUCUGCCGUUCAAAACUCUCCUUGAAAAUUUCGAAAAUUCAUAAAAUACACAAACGAUAAUGGCGUCUGACACGCUGGUGACAACGGCCGCGAGUGCAAAGGGUACUUAAAGGCAACUGUUUAAUACCACUACCGUUAGCGUGCAGCAUCUGUGUGUUCAAAUAUCCUGGUAUCCGAUAUUCGGUCACUUUACCCUAUUUAAAAUAAUGAAAUUUUGUAAGUCACUUUGAAGCCUGCUGUUAUCAUACCUUAUAUUGCAUUUUUAUGUGGUUUAAUUAUUUACAUCUGUCAUUUCCUUUGUCAUAAACUGUAAUAUGGACACUUAAAAACAGUUCGGGUUCUUUGAAAACCUAAAAAGUAAAAAUAAUGACGAUACAAAUUUCGUUAAGUAUGGCACGACAGCACAAUUGUUAAACAGUACAAUAAAUUAUUCUCUAUAGUAUACU